Molecule: ribosomal RNA, 225 nt
Filed under: uncultured Exiguobacterium sp.
Lineage: Bacteria; Bacillati; Bacillota; Bacilli; Caryophanales
Description: partial 16S ribosomal RNA
Rfam family: Bacterial small subunit ribosomal RNA
Source: RNAcentral
CGCGCAGGCGGCCUCUUAAGUCUGAUGUGAAAGCCCCCGGCUCAACCGGGGAGGGCCAUUGGAAACUGGGAGGCUUGAGUAUAGGAGAGAAGAGUGGAAUUCCACGUGUAGCGGUGAAAUGCGUAGAGAUGUGGAGGAACACCAGUGGCGAAGGCGACUACCUGGACUAACACUGACACUGAGGUGCGAAAGCGUGGGGAGCAAACAGGAUUAGAUACCCCAGUA